This 497-nucleotide ribosomal RNA is filed under the name uncultured bacterium. RNAcentral's name for it is "partial 16S ribosomal RNA". It matches the Rfam family "Bacterial small subunit ribosomal RNA", at positions 28 to 507 of the family's 1533-position model. The record is from RNAcentral.
GAUGAACGCUGGCGGCGUGCCUAAUACAUGCAAGUCGAGCGAACGGACGAGAAGCUUGCUUCUCUGAUGUUAGCGGCGGACGGGUGAGUAACACGUGGAUAACCUACCUAUAAGACUGGGAUAACUUCGGGAAACCGUAUCUAAUACCGGAUAAUAUUUUGAACCGCAUGGUUCAAAAGUGAAAGACGGUCUUGCUGUCACUUAUAGAUGGAUCCGCGCUGCAUUAGCUAGUUGGUAAGGUAACGGCUUACCAAGGCAACGAUGCAUAGCCGACCUGAGAGGGUGAUAGGCCACACUGGAACUGAGACACGGUCCAGACUCCUACGGGAGGCAGCAGUAGGGAAUCUUCCGCAAUGGGCGAAAGCCUGACGGAGCAACGCCGCGUGAGUGAUGAAGGUCUUCGGAUCGUAAAACUCUGUUAUUAGGGAAGAACAUAUGUGUAAGUAACUGUGCACAUCUUGACGGUACCUAAUCAGAAAGCCACGGCUAACUACGUG